UACGAACCGUGCGAACGUUGUUCGGAAUCACUGGGCUUAAAGGGCGCGUAGGCGGGUUUGCAAGUCUGUGGUGAAAGCCUCCAGCUUAACUGGAGAAGUGCCAUGGAUACUGCGCAUCUUGAGGAGGGUAGGGGCGUCUGGAACGGUCGGUGGAGCGGUGAAAUGCGUAGAUAUCGACCGGAACUCCGGUGGCGAAGGCGAGGCGCUGGACCCUUUCUGACGCUGAGGCGCGAAAGCCAGGGGAGCAAACGGG
This 253-nucleotide ribosomal RNA is filed under the name uncultured bacterium. RNAcentral describes it as "partial 16S ribosomal RNA". It matches the Rfam family "Bacterial small subunit ribosomal RNA", at positions 524 to 776 of the family's 1533-position model. The record is from RNAcentral.